Molecule: ribosomal RNA, 468 nt
Filed under: uncultured bacterium
Lineage: Bacteria
Description: partial 16S ribosomal RNA
Rfam family: Bacterial small subunit ribosomal RNA
Source: RNAcentral
GACGAACGCUGGCGGCGUGCUUAACACAUGCAAGUCGAACGGAAAGGCCCUGCUUUUGUGGGGUGCUCGAGUGGCGAACGGGUGAGUAACACGUGAGUAACCUGCCCUUGACUUUGGGAUAACUUCAGGAAACUGGGGCUAAUACCGGAUAGGAGCUCCUGCUGCAUGGUGGGGGUUGGAAAGUUUCGGCGGUUGGGGAUGGUCUCGCGGCUUAUCGGCUUGUUGGUGAGGUAGUGGCUUACCAAGGCUUUGACGGGUAGCCUGCAUGAGAGGGUGACCGGCCACAUUGGGACUGCGAUACGGCCCAGACUCCUACGGGAGGCAGCAGUGGGGAAUAUUGCACAAUGGGCGGAAGCCUGAUGCAGCAACGCCGCGUGCGGGAUGACGGCCUUCGGGUUGUAAACCGCUUUCGCCUGUGACGAAGCGUGAGUGACGGUAAUGGGUAAAGAAGCACCGGCUAACUACGUG